GUCUAUGGCCAUGCCACCCUAAACAUGCCUGAUCUCGUCUGAUCUUGGAAGCUAAGCAGGGUCGGGCCUGGUUAGGACUUGGAUGGGAGACCACCUAGGAAGACCAGGUGCUAUAGGCA
This 119-nucleotide ribosomal RNA is filed under the name Pteropus alecto (black flying fox). The record is from RNAcentral. Lineage: Eukaryota; Metazoa; Chordata; Mammalia; Chiroptera; Pteropodidae.